CUAUCCUUUAAACUUAAAUAAAAGAAAUCCCACAAUAGUUUCAGAGAGGCGUAUCACAGCUGGAGAGUGCAAUCAAACAGAUGCAGAGACAUGCAGUUAGCUAGGAUCCCAAACAUUCAAAAUUGAAGAUCCCAACGCAGAGCAGCCAAGAAUGAAACCUCAAGUGAAGUAGCACAAAACCAACGAAGCAGACCCAGAAGACACCUCAACACAAAA
Molecule: unclassified non-coding RNA, 216 nt
Filed under: Hevea brasiliensis (rubber tree)
Lineage: Eukaryota; Viridiplantae; Streptophyta; Magnoliopsida; Malpighiales; Euphorbiaceae
Source: RNAcentral